UACAGAGGUGGCAAGCGUUGUUCGGAAUUACUGGGCGUAAAGGGCGCGUAGGCGGUUCGUUAAGUCCUGUGUGAAAUCCCCCGGCUCAACUGGGGAACUGCACAGGAAACUAGCGGGCUUGAGUUCGGGAGAGGGAAGCGGAAUUCCGGGUGUAGCGGUGAAAUGCGUAGAUAUUCGGAGGAACACCAGUGGCGAAGGCGGCUCGCUGGCUCGAUACUGACGCUGAGGUGCGAAAGCGUGGGGAGCAAACAGG
Molecule: ribosomal RNA, 253 nt
Filed under: uncultured bacterium
Lineage: Bacteria
Description: partial 16S ribosomal RNA
Rfam family: Bacterial small subunit ribosomal RNA
Source: RNAcentral